GAUGAAGAACGCAGCGAAAUGCGAUACGUAAUGUGAGUUGCAGAAUUCAGUGAAUCAUCGAGUCUUUGAACGCACAUUGCGCCCCCUGGUAUUCCGGGGGGCAUGCCUGUCCGAGCGUCAUUGCUGCCCUCAAGCACGGCUUGUGUGUUGGGCCUCCGUCCUCCUCCCGGGGGACGGGCCCGAAAGGCAGCGGCGGCACCGCGUCCGGUCCUCGAGCGUAUGGGGCUUCGUCACCCGCUCUUGUAGGCCCGGUCGGCGCUUGCCGACACAUCAAUCUUUUUUCCAGGUUGACCUCGGAUCAGGUAGGGAUACCCGCUGAACUUAAGCAUAUCAAUAAGCGGAGGA
This 345-nucleotide unclassified non-coding RNA is filed under the name soil metagenome. RNAcentral describes it as "partial contains 5.8S ribosomal RNA, internal transcribed spacer 2, and large subunit ribosomal RNA". The stretch from base 1 to 120 matches the Rfam family "5.8S ribosomal RNA", at positions 35 to 154 of the family's 154-position model. The record is from RNAcentral.